RNAcentral lists this unclassified non-coding RNA (253 nucleotides) under Acidobacterium sp. RNAcentral's name for it is "partial 16S ribosomal RNA". It matches the Rfam family "Bacterial small subunit ribosomal RNA", at positions 524 to 776 of the family's 1533-position model. RNAcentral also lists the same sequence under 1 other name. Lineage: Bacteria; Pseudomonadati; Acidobacteriota; Terriglobia; Terriglobales; Acidobacteriaceae. The record is from RNAcentral.
UACGUAGGCUCCAAGCGUUGUUCGGAAUUACUGGGCGUAAAGCGAGUGUAGGCGGUCUGUCAAGUCGAUUGUGAAAUCUCCCGGCUCAACUGGGAGGGUGCGGUCGAAACUGACAGACUAGAGUUCGGGAGAGGAGAGUGGAAUUCCUGGUGUAGCGGUGAAAUGCGUAGAUAUCAGGAGGAACAUCGGUGGUGAAGACGGCUCUCUGGACCGAUACUGACGCUGAGACUCGAAAGCGUGGGGAGCAAACAGG